UAAAAUGUUGAUAUAAUCAUACACUCACUUGUCUUUCAGGUCAUUUUUUGCAUUUUUCUUAAAAUCAUCCGACUUUUGCUGUCCAAGUUAAAGGCUGACCAGGUGAAGUUCACUGACUACAGAUACAGUCUAGCCAGAGCAACGCUUGUGUUGAUUCCUCUGCUCGGGGUCCAUGAAAUCGUCUUUACCUUAAUUAUAGACGAAUCAGUUGAGGGAAGCAGCCGCUACGCUCGAAACUUCGUCAAUCUGACCCUGAGCUCUUUCCAGGGUCUUUUAGUUGCAAUGCUGUACUGCUUUGCAAAUGGAGAGGU
Sinocyclocheilus anshuiensis is the source of this 311-nucleotide long non-coding RNA. RefSeq lists it as uncharacterized. The transcript is spliced from 3 exons. NCBI's taxonomy places the organism in Eukaryota, Metazoa, Chordata, Actinopteri, Cypriniformes, Cyprinidae. The record is from RefSeq and is a predicted model, not a curated record.